This 436-nucleotide ribosomal RNA is filed under the name uncultured bacterium. RNAcentral describes it as "partial 16S ribosomal RNA". It matches the Rfam family "Bacterial small subunit ribosomal RNA", at positions 29 to 507 of the family's 1533-position model. The record is from RNAcentral.
AGCGAACGCUGGCGGCAGGCUUAACACAUGCAAGUCGAGCGGGCAUCCUUGUGGUGUCAGCGGCAGACGGGUGAGUAACGCGUGGGAACGUGCCCUUCGGUUCGGAAUAACUCAGGGAAACUUGAGCUAAUACCGGAUACGCCCUUUUGGGGAAAGGUUUACUGCCGAAGGAUCGGCCCGCGUCUAAUUAGCUAGUUGGUGAGGUUAUGGCUCACCAAGGCGACGAUCAGUAGCUGGUCUGAGAGGAUGAUCAGCCACACUGGGACUGAGACACGGCCCAGACUCCUACGGGAGGCAGCAGUGGGGAAUAUUGGACAAUGGGGGCAACCCUGAUCCAGCCAUGCCGCGUGAGUGAUGACGGCCUUAGGGUUGUAAAGCUCUUUUCUCCGGGACGAUAAUGACGGUACCGGAGGAAUAAGCCCCGGCUAACUUCGUG